Molecule: long non-coding RNA, 412 nt
Filed under: Mytilus galloprovincialis (Mediterranean mussel)
Lineage: Eukaryota; Metazoa; Mollusca; Bivalvia; Mytilida; Mytilidae
Source: RNAcentral
CUAUCUUUUUUUCCAGAAUCGAAACAUUAAUACAUACCUGUGAAUUGCUAAUUAUAUUAAUCAUAAAUCACUAUUCUAAACUGGUAAUUUCCAAACCAGGAAGAGAUAUUAAUACAAUAAUAUAAAAUCGAUAACUGCAAGUAUGAACUAUUUCCGGAAACUUUUUCUUUCCAAACAAGCUAGAUACACAUAUUGAUAAAUUAAAAUUUCAUAUAUACUUAUUUAUUUACGGUUGAAAAUGAAAUAUUUAUAACAUAGAUUAGAUAAAUUGUAAUGUUUUAUUGUUAAACAGAGAGAAAUCCUGGAUUUCUUGUUAAAACAAAGAUACCCUUCUCUAGAAUGCUGGACUAGUGAAGUAAAUUGUUAACAGCAAGCAAUAUAUUGUUGAAUAAAAAAAAAAAAAAAAAAAGAA